RNAcentral lists this ribosomal RNA (618 nucleotides) under Triticum aestivum (bread wheat). RNAcentral describes it as "partial small subunit ribosomal RNA". The record is from RNAcentral. Lineage: Eukaryota; Viridiplantae; Streptophyta; Magnoliopsida; Poales; Poaceae.
AUGUCGGGCGCGGCGGCGGCGGUGGCGCGAGUGCUGCCGAAGGCAGUGACCUUCGUGACGGGCAACGCCAAGAAGCUGGAGGAAGUCCGCGCGAUUCUCGGCUCCUCCAUCCCCUUCCAGUCCCUCAAACUCGACCUGCCCGAGUUGCAAGGUGAGCCAGAGGACAUAUCUAAAGAGAAGGCCCGAAUGGCUGCAUCUCAGGUGAAUGGUCCUGUACUUGUUGAGGACACCUGUCUAUGUUUCAAUGCGCUCAAAGGUUUGCCAGGGCCCUAUAUAAAAUGGUUUCUAGAGAAGAUUGGGCAUGAAGGUUUGAACAAUCUGCUAAAAGCUUAUGAAGACAAAUCAGCUUUUGCUAUGUGCAUCUUUUCCCUUGCUCUUGGACCAGAAGAGGAACCGAUCACAUUUGUUGGAAAAACAGCAGGGAAAAUUGUACCUGCCAGAGGCCCUGCUGAUUUUGGAUGGGACCCUGUAUUCCAACCAGAUGGAUUUGAACAAACGUAUGCUGAGAUGCCCAAGCCUGAAAAGAAUCAAAUAUCUCAUAGGGGGAGAGCUCUUGCACUGGUGAAAGAACAUUUUGCUUCUGCCAAUUAUGAAGUUCAGGGUGACGGAUUGGCUUAA